This 325-nucleotide ribosomal RNA is filed under the name uncultured eukaryote. RNAcentral describes it as "partial 18S ribosomal RNA". It matches the Rfam family "Eukaryotic small subunit ribosomal RNA", at positions 1470 to 1796 of the family's 1831-position model. The record is from RNAcentral.
CCCUUAGAUGUCCUGGGCCGCACGCGCGCUACACUGAUGCAUUCAACGAGUAUUUCCUUGGCCGAGAGGCCUGGGCAAUCUUUUAAACCUGCAUCGUGAUAGGGAUAGAUUAUUGCAAUUAUUAAUCUUGAACGAGGAAUUCCUAGUAAACGCAAAUCAUCAAUUUGCAUUGAUUACGUCCCUGCCCUUUGUACACACCGCCCGUCGCACCUACCGAUUGAAUGGUCCGGUGAGAUCUCGGGAUUGUGGCCAGUUCACUUUAUUGGGAGUUGGCUGCGAGAACUUGCUUAAACCUUAUCAUUUAGAGGAAGGUGAAGUCGUAACA